GUCAGAGUGGUGAAGUGGAUAAAACACUGGACUUGGAGUCAGGAAGACAUGGGUUCAAAUCCCAUCUCUCCCA
This 73-nucleotide transfer RNA is filed under the name Monodelphis domestica (gray short-tailed opossum). It matches the Rfam family "tRNA". From Rfam's summary of the family: Transfer RNA (tRNA) molecules are approximately 80 nucleotides in length. Lineage: Eukaryota; Metazoa; Chordata; Mammalia; Didelphimorphia; Didelphidae. The record is from Rfam by way of RNAcentral.